Molecule: ribosomal RNA, 429 nt
Filed under: Bacteroidota bacterium
Lineage: Bacteria; Pseudomonadati; Bacteroidota
Description: Bacteroidetes bacterium partial 16S ribosomal RNA
Rfam family: Bacterial small subunit ribosomal RNA
Source: RNAcentral
UAGGGAAUCUUCGGCAAUGGGGGGAACCCUGACCGAGCAACGCCGCGUGAGUGAAGAAGGUUUUCGGAUCGUAAAGCUCUGUUGUUAAGGAAGAACGAGUGUGAGAAUGGAAAGUUCAUGCUGUGACGGUACUUAACCAGAAAGGGACGGCUAACUACGUGCCAGCAGCCGCGGUAAUACGUAGGUCCCGAGCGUUGUCCGGAUUUAUUGGGCGUAAAGCGAGCGCAGGCGGUUCGAAAAGUCUGAAGUGAAAGGCAGUGGCUCAGCCAUUGUAGGGUUGGGAGACUGUUUAACGUGAGUGCAGAAGGGGAGGGUGGAAUUCCGUGUGUAGCGGUGAAAAGCAUAGAUAUAUAGAGGAAGAACGGUGGCGAAAGGGGAGCACUGGACUGUAAAUGACGAUGAGGCUCAAAAGCGUGGGGAGCGAACAGG